Molecule: ribosomal RNA, 381 nt
Filed under: uncultured eukaryote
Lineage: Eukaryota
Description: partial 18S ribosomal RNA
Rfam family: Eukaryotic small subunit ribosomal RNA
Source: RNAcentral
CAAUAGCGUAUAUUAAAGUUGUUGCGGUAAAAAAGCUCGUAGUUGGAUUUCUACCGAAGAUAGCCGGUCGGGUCUUCGACCUUGUAUCUGGUUUUGUCUUUGGUAUCCUCAUAGGGAACGUUUCUGCGCUUUAUUGCGUGGUGCGGUAUCUAUGACUUUUACUUUGAGGAAAUUAGAGUGUUCACGGCAGGCAAACGCCUUGAAUAUAUUAGCAUGGAAUAAUAACAUAGGAUCUUUGUCCUAUUUUGUUGGUUUCUAGGGCUGAGAUAAUGAUUAAUAGGGAUAAUUGGGGGCAUCUGUAUCAACGCGUCAGAGGUGGAAUUCUUGGAUUGCGUUGCGACAAACUACUGCGAAAGCAUUUGCCAAGGAUGUUUUCAUUGA